RNAcentral lists this long non-coding RNA (1413 nucleotides) under Panax ginseng (ginseng). RNAcentral describes it as "long non-coding RNA (PGIN_LNC009594)". The record is from RNAcentral. Lineage: Eukaryota; Viridiplantae; Streptophyta; Magnoliopsida; Apiales; Araliaceae.
UCUUUCAAAAUAAUUUAUACAUAAUUUAUUAUAUAUAGGAAAAUCAUGUAUAUAAAAAUAUAAAAGUCAUACGAAUAAUAAUUGGAGUUGCAUCCCUGACUGCUACCGUAUCCUGCAUUGUCAUGCUGAAGAUUCUUGCAGUUGAUUCUGUUGGUUUGUUUGUUGAAGUUGGUCUCGUUGUUGCCAGCGUCCCGCUACUUUUCCCCGUAUUCACGCUUCCUGCCUUCAUUCUCCUUUUUGGACAGUCCUUCACCUUAUGCUCCGUUGAUCCACUAAAUCCUGGCAGUACGACUGCCUUGAAGUCUUUGUGACACCCCCAAAUCCGGGUACUUCAUUUCCACCGAAUUUGGUGCUCACUAUUACAAUAAUUACAUCUAAUUACCCAUAAUAAAGGAUAAAACAUUAAAUAACUUUAAACAAUAAUCUUUCCCAUUAAAGGGUUACAUCAUCAUCUCAAAAAUAAUCCCAGGUAAUCUAACCUUAAAAUUAUUACAUCAAUUUGUGGAAUACAUUAUAAAAUAAAACAAGUCUUAAAACUUCAAGCAUUUAAAUAAACUUUAACUAAUUCUUCACCACUUAGACAUCUUUCCCUUUCCCUUGCUAGUAGAUGGCUCAUCACCUCUUUCGACUUUAGCUGCAUUGUUUAAUUGCAAGAGUGAGCAAACAAUUGCUCACUGACAUAAAGAUAGUAUAACAACAACAUGAUAGUGAACAACGAAUACUGAAUAAUAAAGAACUUGUUCUACGAAUCAAAAUAGAAAACAAGUUCGAACUUUAAUUAUCUAAGGGUCUUAAGACCACGAACUAUGUCCACGGUGUCUAGGUAUUAUUACCUUAACCUUAACAGUCAUUAGACUGUACAGACUCUUCUUCACGAACUCAAGGGGAGCCCUUUGUACCAUGUAUUGUGCACAAACAUCUAAACGUUACACGUACAAAAUCCCCUAUUUAGGGUUGUUCGUCUUAGUUUGAAUUUAGAAUUUCCGCACUAAAGAAAGUUUAGUUUGGAACUAGCUUAUCAGUGUUUCUAGAAUUUUAGAACAAUUAUUCAAUUUCCAUCAAUAAAGGUUUAAUACGAGAAUGUAUAACUAAACAAGGCUAUUAAAGUUAAAGAUCGGAUAUCAACAAUAUAUAUAACUGAAUAACGUGAUAUAUAUAUACCAAGUGCUAUAUUCAAAGGAGUUUAGAACAAUCUUCUAUGAAUCAAUGUGUUAGAACAAUAUAUGCUUUGAAUGAUAAUAAGGAAAGUAAAGCUUGCUCGAUGUAACGAAUUAGGUUACAAGAGCUUGCACAAAUAUAUUCAAGAUAGAUUAGGCUUGCUCAAUUUUAAAAAUUUGUACAAUAAUAAUAUAGGAAUGGAAACUUGCAUUCAAUAUGAAAAGAAUGAAGUUAGAAAACUUGCUCAAACAUAAG